This is a long non-coding RNA of Nycticebus coucang (slow loris), 333 nucleotides long. RefSeq lists it as uncharacterized. The transcript has 2 exons. The record is from RefSeq and is a predicted model, not a curated record. NCBI's taxonomy places the organism in Eukaryota, Metazoa, Chordata, Mammalia, Primates, Lorisidae.
GGGGACUUCCUGCCACCACAGCAGUUGGCUCCCGGGAGGUAGCUCCAGCCAGUAUAGGACCCUGGGAAAGGCGUUUGCUCCCUCCCUAAGUGCCGAGGGGGAGGGAGAGGCCGCCCUCAGAGUCCAGCUGGAGGCGGAUUAAAGAACUUGACUGCUCACCAGGAAUUCGGGUCCUUAAGAUCUUGGCGCUUCAUCCUUAAAACCGUACAGAGCUGAUUGUUUCCAGAUCCUGACACGGUGACAUUCCUCCCUCCAAAUGUUGGCCUCGUCCCAGACAUCUUUUCAAGAAUCGCAAUUAAGAGAUUGAAAAUAAAAUACAUAAAUUAAAUAUCA